AGCUUUGUGCAAUGGCAGUAUUGUAGCCGAUAAGGUUUAUCCACGGUGCGAUGAUUGCUAAUUAAAUAAUCAGUCAGUAGAGAGAAAGUUAUGGUUGGUGGGGAGAGAAUAUAAUAGACAGUGAGGUCAAUGUACUUAUUACACACUUAUAACUCUCUGUCUCCCUCCUCAGAGA
This 175-nucleotide small nuclear RNA is filed under the name Pteropus vampyrus (large flying fox). Its description in RNAcentral is "U4 spliceosomal RNA (ENSPVAG00000028437.1)". The record is from RNAcentral. Lineage: Eukaryota; Metazoa; Chordata; Mammalia; Chiroptera; Pteropodidae.